RNAcentral lists this ribosomal RNA (597 nucleotides) under Hepatozoon canis. RNAcentral describes it as "bacterial SSU rRNA". It matches the Rfam family "Eukaryotic small subunit ribosomal RNA", at positions 221 to 806 of the family's 1831-position model. The record is from RNAcentral. Lineage: Eukaryota; Apicomplexa; Hepatozoidae.
GCCAAUGCAUGCUUUUACAGUAUGGAAAUUGGUGAUUUAUAAUAACUUGGCAAAUCGCAAAGUGAAAACAGGCGAUAAAUCAUUCAAGUUUCUGACCUAUCAGCUUUCGACGGUAUGGUAUUGGCUUACCGUGGCAGUGACGGUUAACGGGGGAUUAGGGUUCGAUUCCGGAGAGGGAGCCUGAGAAACGGCUACCACAUCUAAGGAAGGCAGCAGGCGCGCAAAUUACCCAAUUCUAACAGUUUGAGAGAGGUAGUAACAAGAAAUAACAAUACAAGGCAAUUAAAAUGCUUUGUAAUUGGAAUGAUAGAAAUUUAAACCCUUUUUAAAGUAUCAAUUGGAGGGCAAGUCUGGUGCCAGCAGCCGCGGUAAUUCCAGCUCCAAUAGCGUAUAUUAAAAUUGUUGCAGUUAAAAAGCUCGUAGUUGAAGUUCUGCUAAAAGUAACCGGUCUGCUUUUAAUAAAAGUGGUAUCUUGGUGUGUAUUUAGCAAUGAUGUCCUUUGAAGUGUUUUUUACUUUAUUGUAAUAAAGCAUAUUCAGGACUUUUACUUUGAGAAAAUUAGAGUGUUUCUAGCAGGCCGACGCUUUGAAUACUGCA